UAUUUCCUUCAGUGUUGGUUUUCACCUUAUGAAACCAACCCUUCACCUUCCCUACGUACAUAACGUCUAAUUAAAGCGUCCACCCAACUUAACCCUAUCUAAACUGUAAACUUAUAAACCCACACAAAAAGCCUAACCCUUCGUCUUCCCUUCACAUAUAACGUUUAAUUAAUGCAUCCACCCACCCUAACCCUAAUAUAAUAGUAAACUAUACAAACUCACACAAAAGCCCCCUUCUCUCCUAUGCAUGUCAUGAAAAUAAAAACCUACUAUUUUUCUAUAAUAAAUUAUGGCCUCCUUCAUUUGGCAAAAGGUGUGGCAUCCAUU
This 327-nucleotide long non-coding RNA is filed under the name Ananas comosus (pineapple). RNAcentral's name for it is "long non-coding RNA (ACOM_LNC030776)". The record is from RNAcentral. Lineage: Eukaryota; Viridiplantae; Streptophyta; Magnoliopsida; Poales; Bromeliaceae.